GACGAACGCUGGCGGCGUGCUUAACACAUGCAAGUCGAACGGAAAGGCCCUGCUUUUGUGGGGUGCUCGAGUGGCGAACGGGUGAGUAACACGUGAGUAACCUGCCCUUGACUUUGGGAUAACUUCAGGAAACUGGGGCUAAUACCGGAUAGGAGCUCCUGCUGCAUGGUGGGGGGUGGAUAGUUUCGGCGGUUGGGGAUGGACGCGCGGCUUAUCAGCCUGUUGGUGGGGUAGUGGCUUACCAAGGCUUUGACGGGUAGCCGGCCUGAGAGGGUGACCGGCCCCAUUGGGACUGAGAUACGGCCCAGACUCCUACGGGAGGCAACAGUGGGGAAUAUUGCACAGUGGGCGGAAGCCUGAUGCAGCAACGCCGCGUGCGGGAUGACGGCCUUCGGGUUGUAAACCGCUUUCGCCUGUGACGAAGCGUGAGUGACGGUAAUGGGUAAAGAAGCACCGGCUAACUACGUG
RNAcentral lists this ribosomal RNA (468 nucleotides) under uncultured bacterium. RNAcentral's name for it is "partial 16S ribosomal RNA". It matches the Rfam family "Bacterial small subunit ribosomal RNA", at positions 28 to 507 of the family's 1533-position model. The record is from RNAcentral.